CCGCCAGACACACUAUUGGGCUUUGAGACAACAGGCCCAGCGGGACCUUCGCUCUACGGAGAAGGGGGUUGCCGGCCGUGCGUGCCCCGUUGGGGGUCAGGCGGUUGCUGUUGUCGCCCUGCUU
This 124-nucleotide unclassified non-coding RNA is filed under the name Mycolicibacterium fortuitum. RNAcentral describes it as "partial contains 16S ribosomal RNA and 16S-23S ribosomal RNA intergenic spacer". Lineage: Bacteria; Bacillati; Actinomycetota; Actinomycetes; Mycobacteriales; Mycobacteriaceae. The record is from RNAcentral.